This 483-nucleotide ribosomal RNA is filed under the name uncultured bacterium. Its description in RNAcentral is "bacterial SSU rRNA". It matches the Rfam family "Bacterial small subunit ribosomal RNA", at positions 30 to 504 of the family's 1533-position model. The record is from RNAcentral.
UGAACGCUGGCGGCAUGCCUAACACAUGCAAGUCGAACGGAAACGAUGCUAGCUUGCUAGCAGGCGUCGAGUGGCGGACGGGUGAGUAAUGCAUAGGAAUCUACCUUUUAGUGGGGGAUAACGUGGGGAAACUCACGCUAAUACCGCAUAAUCUCUACGGAGGAAAGUGGGGGAUCUUCGGACCUCAUGCUGAAAGAUGAGCCUAUGUCAGAUUAGCUAGUUGGUGGGGUAAUGGCCUACCAAGGCGACGAUCUGUAGCUGGUUUGAGAGAAUGAUCAGCCACACUGGAACUGAGACACGGUCCAGACUCCUACGGGAGGCAGCAGUGGGGAAUAUUGGACAAUGGGCGCAAGCCUGAUCCAGCAAUGCCGCGUGUGUGAAGAAGGCCUGCGGGUUGUAAAGCACUUUCAGUUGGGAGGAAAGGUUUAAGCUUAAUACGCUUGAACUGUGACGUUACCAACAGAAGAAGCACCGGCUAACUCU